GACCACCAGUGCUGGAGGAGGCAAACUUGCAACAAUGGAAGCCAUGCCUACCUGAAAGAAAACUUAUUGAAUACAGAACAAAGGAACCUCAAAGAUCAAAUUUUGAGAAGUGUUGCGAAACUUUGUUUACAAAAACAAAACUGGGUUCAGUAAAUUUUACGUCUUUGAUUGCAGAGAGAGCGAGAGAGUGCAAGCGAGAGACACUGAACACCACAGAACAUGUACGAG
RNAcentral lists this unclassified non-coding RNA (228 nucleotides) under Hevea brasiliensis (rubber tree). The record is from RNAcentral. Lineage: Eukaryota; Viridiplantae; Streptophyta; Magnoliopsida; Malpighiales; Euphorbiaceae.